AAUGAGUAGUUGUGUUCAAACUUUUGACUGGUAGUGUACGUUYUGAAGUAGUACAUCCCCUUUGAACAGCAACCCUGGCGAUCAUGUUUAGGGCCAGCGAAGGCCUCUGGAACACAGCCACAUGGGGCUUUUCUCCCUCAGCUGAGAAACCUUGGCAAGGUGCAGCAUAGCCAAGUAAAACUCAACGAUACAGUGUACCUCAGACUACAUCCAGUCGCUGUCAGUCGAUACGAGGAAACAGACGGUGGUUGUAUUUUAUGAACGUUUAAUGAAAAGUAUGGAUYACAGCAAACAAAUUAAGGCACACCGCUACGGAGUACCAACAUAUGUACACGGUUUGAUCCUCCAUACAUCAGGACCACAACCAUGGAUUCCAUUCCGAUGACCACACUGAUUAAUCUGCAAUAAUAACUUUCAAAUAGCCCAGGAUAAGAGUACCCAGAAAUGCAAUGCAUCUAUUUUCACCAGUAGAUGGAGGAGAAGAUGCAGGUCAGUGAUCAUAUCUCCCAAACAAGCUUGGGUAAGUUCAUGAUACAUUGUCACACUUGACUGUACUGUAGGUAUGAUUAGAAAAAGCGGGGACAGAGGGGACAUGAUAUACUGGUGUUAAACAGACAGCUACCGUUCUCCAGAACAGAUCAGGUUUCUUUACUCCUCUACAGCCAAAAGUGUUAAGAAGACAGACAAAUAAUGAACAAGAUUUUGCAGGUGGCAGAGACAUGGGUGGUUCUAAUAGUCUUUUUGGUAAGGUAAUAUUUUUUUUUUUAUAGUAGAAGGCAAUGAAGGAUAUUGUUUGAGUGCAAGACAUUUAACUGACUGCCAAAUCGAAAUUUAGAGGAGGCAUCACAUAUUAUCCAGGCUUAUUGUUGURAACAACAUACAAUAUAAUUUCGACAACUUCACGGUUGUGUCUGAAGGCUACAGACAAACAGCAGCACUGUCUCUCUGUGUUAUUUAAU
Molecule: long non-coding RNA, 959 nt
Organism: Salvelinus sp. IW2-2015
Lineage: Eukaryota; Metazoa; Chordata; Actinopteri; Salmoniformes; Salmonidae
Source: RefSeq, a predicted model, not a curated record